RNAcentral lists this ribosomal RNA (466 nucleotides) under uncultured bacterium. RNAcentral's name for it is "partial 16S ribosomal RNA". It matches the Rfam family "Bacterial small subunit ribosomal RNA", at positions 30 to 507 of the family's 1533-position model. The record is from RNAcentral.
CGAACGCUGGCGGCGUGCUUAACACAUGCAAGUCGAACGGAAAGGCCCUGCUUUUGUGGGGUGCUCGAGUGGCGAACGGGUGAGUAACACGUGAGUAACCUGCCCUUGACUUUGGGAUAACUUCAGGAAACUGGGGCUAAUACCGGAUAGGAGCUCCUGCUGCAUGGUGGGGGUUGGAAAGUUUCGGCGGUUGGGGAUGGACUCGCGGCUUAUCAGCUUGUUGGUGGGGUAGUGGCUUACCAAGGCUUCGACGGGUAGCCGGCCUGAGAGGGUGACCGGCCACAUUGGGACUGAGAUACGGCCCAGACUCCUACGGGAGGCAGCAGUGGGGAAUAUUGCACAAUGGGCGGAAGCCUGAUGCAGCAACGCCGCGUGCGGGAUGACGGCCUUCGGGUUGUAAACCGCUUUCGCCUGUGACGAAGCGUGAGUGACGGUAAUGGGUAAAGAAGCACCGGCUAACUACGUG